AGAGAGAGACAUGCGCGCAUAUCAAUAAGCGGAGGAAAAGAAACUAACAAGGAUUCCCUUAGUAACGGCGAGUGAAGCGGGAAGAGCUCAAAUUUGAAAUCUUCAAGGUUCUACCUUGACGAAUUGUAGUUUAUAGAAGUGUUUUCUGUUAGUAGAGUGGCAAAAGUUCUUUGGAAUAGGACAUCAUAGAGGGUGAGAAUCCCGUAUUUGGUCAUUCCUCCUAGCGUUGUGAUACACUUUCAACGAGUCGGAUUGUUUGGGAAUGCAGUCCCAAAUGGGUGGUAAAUUUCAUCUAAAGCUAAAUAUUGGCGAGAGACCGAUAGCGAACAAGUACCGUGAGGGAAAGAUGAAAAGAACUUUGAAAAGAGAGUUAAACAGUACGUGAAAUUGUCAAAAGGGAAGCGUUUGACACCAGUGUUGUUUUUCCGAAAAUCAAUUACGAAUGUUUUGUUUUUGAGGAGUUAUGACUUCAUCGGCUUGCUCCUUUCUUUACGAAACUUUCUUAAUGCACUUUUCGGUUAACAAGUCAACAUCAAUUUCUUUUGUUGUAAAAGGGUAUGAGGAAGGUGGCUUUCUUUUCGGAGAAAGUGUUUAUAGCCUUGUACCUCUGCAAUCGGAGAGAUUGAGGUCUGCAGCGUAGAUCCUUCGGGGUUAGAUACAUUUGUGCUAAGUUAUAGCUUUUCAUAGACAACUUGUUGACUAUGUUUAGUCUUGUAGCUUACUCGCUUAUGCUAUUUUACCUACGCUUAGGAUGUUGAUAGUCACAGCGUGUAC
This 774-nucleotide ribosomal RNA is filed under the name uncultured Neocallimastigales. RNAcentral describes it as "partial large subunit ribosomal RNA". It matches the Rfam family "Eukaryotic large subunit ribosomal RNA", at positions 23 to 644 of the family's 3401-position model. Lineage: Eukaryota; Fungi; Neocallimastigomycota; Neocallimastigomycetes; Neocallimastigales. The record is from RNAcentral.